GACGAACGCUGGCGGCGUGCUUAACACAUGCAAGUCGAACGGAAAGGCCCUGCUUUUGUGGGGUGCUCGAGUGGCGAACGGGUGAGUAACACGUGAGUAACCUGCCCUUGACUUUGGGAUAACUUCAGGAAACUGGGGCUAAUACCGGAUAGGAGCUCCUGCUGCAUGGUGGGGGUUGGAAAGUUUCGGCGGUUGGGGAUGGACUCGCGGCUUAUCAGCUUGUUGGUGGGGUAGUGGCUUACCAAGGCUUUGACGGGUAGCCGGCCUGAGAGGGUGACCGGCGACAUUGGGACUGAGAGACGGCCCAGACUCCUACGGGAGGCAGCAGUGGGGAAUAUUGCACAAUGGACGGAAGCCUGAUGCAGCAACGCCGCGUGCGGGAUGACGGCCUUCGGGUUGUAAACCGCUUUCGCCUGUGACGAAGCGUGAGUGACGGUGAUGGGUAAAGAAGCACCGGCUAACUACGUG
This 468-nucleotide ribosomal RNA is filed under the name uncultured bacterium. Its description in RNAcentral is "partial 16S ribosomal RNA". It matches the Rfam family "Bacterial small subunit ribosomal RNA", at positions 28 to 507 of the family's 1533-position model. The record is from RNAcentral.